This 256-nucleotide unclassified non-coding RNA is filed under the name air metagenome. Its description in RNAcentral is "partial contains small subunit ribosomal RNA, internal transcribed spacer 1, and 5.8S ribosomal RNA". The stretch from base 1 to 46 matches the Rfam family "Eukaryotic small subunit ribosomal RNA", at positions 1786 to 1831 of the family's 1831-position model. The record is from RNAcentral.
AAGUCGUAACAAGGUUUCCGUAGGUGAACCUGCGGAAGGAUCAUUAUCGAGUAAGGGUCUACACGGCCCGACCUCCAACCCUAUGUCUACCUUACCACGUUGCUUCGGCGAGCCGGUUCGUCAGGACCGCCGGGGAUCUUGAGUGAUGCCUGGAGAGUGCUCGUCGACAGCCCCUUUAAACUCUUGAUGAAAUGUGUCGUCUGAGUACUUGAUUAAAAUCAAAACAAAACUUUCAACAACGGAUCUCUUGGUUCUG